GACGAACGCUGGCGGCGUGCUUAACACAUGCAAGUCGAGCGGUAAGGCCCUUUCGGGGGUACACGAGCGGCGAACGGGUGAGUAACACGUGGGUGACCUGCCCUCAGCUCUGGGAUAAGCCUGGGAAACCGGGUCUAAUACCGGAUAUGACUCCAUGACGCAUGUUGUGGGGUGGAAAGCCUUGUGCGGCUGAGGAUGGGCCCGCGGCCUAUCAGCUUGUUGGUGGGGUGAUGGCCUACCAAGGCGACGAUCGGUAGCUGGUCUUAGAGGAUGAUCAGCCAGACUGGGACUGAGACACGGCCCAGACUCCUACGGGAGGCAGCAGUUAGGAAUUUGGGCAAUGGGCGCAAGCCUGACCCAGCAACGCCGCGUGGGUGACGAAGGCCU
RNAcentral lists this ribosomal RNA (387 nucleotides) under uncultured bacterium. RNAcentral's name for it is "bacterial SSU rRNA". It matches the Rfam family "Bacterial small subunit ribosomal RNA", at positions 28 to 417 of the family's 1533-position model. The record is from RNAcentral.